AUGCUGCAAGGGCUCGUGAGCACAGGGUUUGGGAUUGUGAGCACAGGAUUUGGGAUUGUGAGCACAGGGUUUGGGAUUGUGAGCACAGAAUUUGGGAUUCUGAAUGCAGGGUUUGGGAUUGUGAGCACAGAGUUUGGGACUGUGAGCACAGGGUUUGGGCUCAUGAGCACAGGGUUUGGGCUCGUGAACACAGGAUUUGGGAUUGUGAGCACAGGGUUUGGGCUCGUGAGCACAGGGUUUGGGAUUGUGAGCACAGGGUUUGGGAUUGUGAGCACAGGGUUUGGGAUUGUGAGUGCAGGGUUUGGGAUUGUGAGCACAGGGUUUGGGAUUGUGAGUGCAGGGUUUGGGAUUGUGAGCACAGGGUUUGGGAUUGUGAGUGCAGGGUUUGGGAUUGUGAGCACAGGGUUUGGGAUUGUGAGUGCAGGGUUUGGGAUUGUGAGCACAGGGUUUGGGAUUGUGAGUGCAGGGUUUGGGAUUGUGAGCACAGGGUUUGGGCUCCUGAACACAGGGUUUGGGAUUAUGAACGCAGGGUUUGGGAUUGUGAGCACAGGGUUUGGGUUUGUGAGCACAGGGUUUGGGCUCAGGUACACAGGGUUUGGGUUUAUGAACACAGAGUUUAGCUCCCUGCUGCCUCUGACACCUCGGUGCUGCCUGGGGCUGCUGGAGCACAGGGGACAGCCACAGGGGAAACAGCAACUGAAAUGUCAAAAGUGUCCCAAAAAUCAAACAGUACCCAAAGCCCACCUCCUGCUCCCUUUCCCAAGGAAAGCCCUUUCAAAAGAAGACUGCCAGCCUUCUGUACUGCUUGAAGAAUGA
Molecule: long non-coding RNA, 816 nt
Filed under: Ficedula albicollis (Collared flycatcher)
Lineage: Eukaryota; Metazoa; Chordata; Aves; Passeriformes; Muscicapidae
Description: lncRNA (ENSFALG00000024099.1)
Source: RNAcentral